RNAcentral lists this transfer RNA (77 nucleotides) under Mageeibacillus indolicus UPII9-5. RNAcentral describes it as "tRNA-His (GTG) (tRNA-His-GTG-1-1)". It matches the Rfam family "tRNA". From Rfam's summary of the family: Transfer RNA (tRNA) molecules are approximately 80 nucleotides in length. The record is from RNAcentral. Lineage: Bacteria; Bacillati; Bacillota; Clostridia; Eubacteriales; Oscillospiraceae. RNAcentral also lists the same sequence under 2 other names.
GUGGGAUUAGCUUAGUUGGUUAAAGCGCCAGAUUGUGACUCUGGAGACCGUGGGUUCGAGUCCCAUAUCUCACCCCA